GCUCGAGUAGCUCAGCCUGGAUAGAGCGCUUCCCUCCUAAGGAAGAAGUCGAAGGUUCAAAUCCUUCCUCGGGCG
Molecule: transfer RNA, 75 nt
Filed under: Nanobdellota archaeon
Lineage: Archaea; Nanobdellati; Nanobdellota
Description: tRNA-Arg
Rfam family: tRNA
About the family: Transfer RNA (tRNA) molecules are approximately 80 nucleotides in length. Their secondary structure includes four short double-helical elements and three loops (D, anti-codon, and T loops). Further hydrogen bonds mediate the characteristic L-shaped molecular structure. tRNAs have two regions of fundamental functional importance: the anti-codon, which is responsible for specific mRNA codon recognition, and the 3' end, to which the tRNAs corresponding amino acid is attached (by aminoacyl-tRNA synthetases). tRNAs cope with the degeneracy of the genetic code in two manners: having more than one tRNA (with a specific anti-codon) for a particular amino acid; and 'wobble' base-pairing, i.e. permitting non-standard base-pairing at the 3rd anti-codon position.
Source: RNAcentral